UCGCAUUUUACCCUAAAUCUUCAGAGGAAGUAAGAGCCAGGCCCACAGCUGGAUGGGAACAGAGCCAGGAAAAGAAGACGCUCCUUUGUAUUUCCCGUUCUCUGAUUGAUUUGGCGACCGUUUGCUGAAGCCGAGUGCGGUGCCGUGACCGACUGGCGGUCCCAGAGAAGUGGGAUACAGCUGCCGCCUUGGCAGGGCUCACGUCGAGGAGGGACACUCCUGAACGCGAGUGCUUACUGUCCUGGACCGUGGAGCCACCCGAGGAUCGUGUCCGGCCCGAUGCCUGGAUCUCUGACCCAGUGCUUCUCGAAUGCAAAGGAAAGAGGAUCAAGAGAGUGAAGGCCAGCUAGCAAGUGUGGACAGACCACAGCCGGCUAGAGGGACCAGUGCGCUCUCGGGAGGGCGAGGCGAGAUGUGCCAUCUGCUAAGUGAACUGAGUAACGACACUUACGUGGGGCACUCGGGUCCCAUCCGAGUAUGGCUGUAGAGUGUGCCCAAGAAACACAGAGGCUAGGGAAACACGGCCAGUACUCUGAUCAUUUUCCACAUGCCAGCCACUGUGCUCUGGAGAUGGUUACCAUCCAGGAGUUCUGAAAUGUAUGCAGUGUGCACAAAAGCCAAGGGUUUAAACUCCUCUCCCCCAUUCCUGUGGCCACCCCCAUGGUCCGUCCAUUGGUUAAAGCUGAUUGUGACCCGACCGAGGUGCCAGGGCACUACCGGGGUGGCUGCUGGAGGCCCGAGGACUCAGAUAGGCUGCUGACCCUUCGGGGAGGGCGUGAGGGCUGAGGCGGCGGGGGGUAGCCCAGGGUCCCUGGCUGUUGCGAGUAGGUGGAGAGAAGUAGCGAGUCCCGCUGCUCACUGUGCAGAGAGGUUGGCGCCUGUACCUGGAAAGAAAGGACAAAGGGCUAGAGGACUCACCUCUGUGACUGGGAGAGUGGUGCUGUCUUGUGGUGGCGGGACCUUGGGAGGAAGGUAGGUGGGGAAGAAGGAGCCAGAUGGCUAUGAAUUCGGAGGCAAGCUCUCUGCUAGCAGUAGGGGUUCCUUUGGGCCAGUGGGCCAGGGACCAGGCUUUGGGGCAUGGUUUCCCGAACAGGUGAACAUGAGGUAUAUUUUGGGAUGUUGGGACCUGAGACCACAUGCAGACUGACAGGGCAGAAACCAAACACACAUGCAGUCUGCAUACUUUUCACCACGGUCCCUGAUUCUGUAACCACUCCCAAAUGCAGCCAUUCGCCAGCGUCCUAAUUUGAAGCUCAGAAACUUCAACUGGUCAAACCUGAACUUUGGAACCUUCAGUCCCAUCCCCCACUAUUCGCAUCCAUGAAAUCUCCCCGGUCCAAACCACCCAGUGCACCCCAGGCACAGCGGCCCCUCCACUUUGGCUCAGGCUGUCUCUUGUUGGAACACUGUCCCUUCCUCUCCAUUCGCUUCAUCUGCGCAUUGGCGCUGCAGGAGGGCCCCCGGGGCCUUCCUCCACGAAGGCCUCCAGCCACAGUGCUCUUACUGGCACAGAUCCAGAGCCUGGGUGCUCUCUGGGAGAUUCUCCUCUCCCCACACUGCACCAUGAGGUCCCUGGAGGCCAGCGAGAAGGCCCAAAUUCUCAGUGUCUUCUUAGCCCCAUGUCUUGGAGGAACAGGUCCCCAUCAACAUGUUUGCUGCCAGGGCUGAAGAAAGACGCGGGAGGCCCCUAACGCUGCCCAGACCAUCCCUGCCUUCUCACUUCACCUGUGCCCAUCUGCAAUCACUUGUGUCCUGCAAAAUGACAUGAUAUGCAAAGCUCAAGUCUUGAGUUGCCUGCCCCUAUGCUUGAGGCCAGUGAACUUUGAAAAGUAUAUCACAGAUGGGUUAACAUCUUUGGAAUUAAAUUGCAUUCAAGACCAUCAAGGAGGACACUCUUCAUCUUUAUCCCACUGUCCUUAAAAUGUCUCAGUCCCAACACUCUCCUCUGGCUUUGGAGAUGCCCAAGCCGGGAGGCAGAGAAGGGAAAGCCCUGCCCUGCUCUGUGGUGGGGACUGGAGGUCAGGGAGGAUGUGCAAAGGACGGGGGCAGGGCUGGGGCAGGAAGGAGGGCUCCAGGCAUAUGUCAGACGAAAGGCUGGAGCCGCCGCAGACACUUCUGGUCCCAUCUGAACACCAACCACUGACUCUCACCCUCCCUCUUUCCGGUGUGUUUGGCACUUGCUUAAAGUAAACAGUGACCACACGUAAAAGUGCCCCACAUUUUCCUGGAAAGCCCCAACUUUGUACCACAUUAUUGUAUUUAUCAAGCAAGUUCAAUGAAUAUUUACCUAAAUGUGA
Long non-coding RNA from Ailuropoda melanoleuca (giant panda), 2297 nucleotides. RefSeq lists it as uncharacterized. The transcript has 2 exons. NCBI's taxonomy places the organism in Eukaryota, Metazoa, Chordata, Mammalia, Carnivora, Ursidae. The record is from RefSeq and is a predicted model, not a curated record.